AGCUCCAAUAGCGUAUAUUAAAGUUGUUGCAGUUAAAACGCUCGUAGUCGGAUUUCGGGGCGGGCCGACCGGUCUGCCGAUGGGUAUGCACUGGCCGGCGCGUCCUUCCUUCCGGAGACCGUGCCUACUCUUAACUGAGCGGGUUCGGGAGACGGAUCGUUUACUUUGAAAAAAUCAGAGUGUUUCAAGCAGGCAGCUCGCUCUUGCAUGGAUUAGCAUGGGAUAAUGAAAUAGGACUUUGGUGCUAUUUUGUUGGUUUCGAACACCGAAGUAAUGAUUAACAGGGACAGUCAGGGGCACUCGUAUUCCGUCGAGAGAGGUGAAAUUCUCAGACCAACGGAAGACGAACCACUGCGAAAGCAUUUGCCAGGGAUGUUUUCACUG
Molecule: ribosomal RNA, 384 nt
Filed under: Prymnesiales sp.
Lineage: Eukaryota; Haptophyta; Prymnesiales
Description: SSU rRNA
Rfam family: Eukaryotic small subunit ribosomal RNA
Source: RNAcentral